UACGAAGGGGGCUAGCGUUGCUCGGAAUUACUGGGCGUAAAGGGCGCGUAGGCGGACAGUUUAGUCAGAGGUGAAAGCCCAGGGCUCAACCUUGGAAAUGCCUUUGAUACUGGCUGUCUUGAGUGCGGGAGAGGUGAGUGGAAUGCCGAGUGUAGAGGUGAAAUUCGUAGAUAUUCGGCGGAACACCAGUGGCGAAGGCGACUCACUGGCCCGAUACUGACGCUGAGGCGCGAAAGCGUGGGGAGCAAACAGG
RNAcentral lists this ribosomal RNA (253 nucleotides) under uncultured bacterium. RNAcentral's name for it is "partial 16S ribosomal RNA". It matches the Rfam family "Bacterial small subunit ribosomal RNA", at positions 524 to 776 of the family's 1533-position model. The record is from RNAcentral.